GAUCAUGCUCAGGAUGAACGCUAGCGACAGGCUAACACAUGCAAGUCGAGGGCGAUCACGGGAGUAGCAAUACAACUGGUGGCGACCGGCGCACGGGUGAGUAACGCGUAUGCAACCUACCUAUCAGAGGGGAAUAACCCGGCGAAAGUCGGACUAAUACCGCAUAAAACAGGGGCACCGCAUGGUGAUAUUUGUUAAAGAAAUUCGCUGAUAGAUGGGCAUGCGUUCCAUUAGGUAGUUGGUGAGGUAACGGCUCACCAAGCCGACGAUGGAUAGGGGAACUGAGAGGUUGGUCCCCCACACUGGUACUGAGACACGGACCAGACUCCUACGGGAGGCAGCAGUGAGGAAUAUUGGUCAAUGGGCGGGAGCCUGAACCAGCCAAGUCGCGUGAAGGAAGAAGGAUCUAUGGUUCGUAAACUUCUUUUGCAGGGGAAUAAAGUGCAGGACGUGUCCUGUUUUGUAUGUACCCUGAGAAUAAGGAUCGGCUAACUCCGUGCCAGCCGCCGC
Molecule: ribosomal RNA, 510 nt
Filed under: uncultured bacterium
Lineage: Bacteria
Description: bacterial SSU rRNA
Rfam family: Bacterial small subunit ribosomal RNA
Source: RNAcentral